AACGAACGCUGGCGGCAUGCCUAACACAUGCAAGUCGAACGAGACCUUCGGGUCUAGUGGCGCACGGGUGCGUAACGCGUGGGAACCUGCCCUUAGGUUCGGAAUAACUCCCCGAAAGGGGUGCUAAUACCGGAUAAUGUCUUCGGACCAAAGAUUUAUCGCCUUUGGAUGGGCCCGCGUUGGAUUAGCUAGUUGGUAGGGUAAAAGCCUACCAAGGCGACGAUCCAUAGCUGGUCUGAGAGGAUGAUCAGCCACUCUGGGACUGAGACACGGCCCAGACUCCUACGGGAGGCAGCAGUGGGGAAUAUUGGACAAUGGGCGAAAGCCUGAUCCAGCAAUGCCGCGUGAGUGAUGAAGGCCUUAGGGUUGUAAAGCUCUUUUACCCGGGAUGAUAAUGACAGUACCGGGAGAAUAAGCGCCGGCUAACUCCGUG
RNAcentral lists this ribosomal RNA (433 nucleotides) under uncultured bacterium. Its description in RNAcentral is "partial 16S ribosomal RNA". It matches the Rfam family "Bacterial small subunit ribosomal RNA", at positions 29 to 507 of the family's 1533-position model. The record is from RNAcentral.